Molecule: transfer RNA, 90 nt
Filed under: Lentinula boryana
Lineage: Eukaryota; Fungi; Basidiomycota; Agaricomycetes; Agaricales; Omphalotaceae
Description: tRNA-Gly
Rfam family: tRNA
About the family: Transfer RNA (tRNA) molecules are approximately 80 nucleotides in length. Their secondary structure includes four short double-helical elements and three loops (D, anti-codon, and T loops).
Source: RNAcentral
GCAUUAAUGGGGUAGUGGUAACCUGGGUCGUUGCCAAAUUUAGGAACCACCAGUUUCGACCCGCCGGGGGUUCGAUUCCCUCUUAAUGCA